RNAcentral lists this ribosomal RNA (492 nucleotides) under uncultured bacterium. RNAcentral's name for it is "partial 16S ribosomal RNA". It matches the Rfam family "Bacterial small subunit ribosomal RNA", at positions 29 to 507 of the family's 1533-position model. The record is from RNAcentral.
AGUGAACGCUGGCGGUAGGCCUAACACAUGCAAGCCGAACGGCAGCACAGUAAGAGCUUGCUCUUACGGGUGGCGAGUGGCGGACGGGUGAGGAAUACAUCGGAAUCUACUUUUUCGUGGGGGAUAACGUAGGGAAACUUACGCUAAUACCGCAUACGACCUACGGGUGAAAGCAGGGGAUCUUCGGACCUUGCGCGAUUGAAUGAGCCGAUGUCGGAUUAGCUAGUUGGCGGGGUAAAGGCCCACCAAGGCGACGAUCCGUAGCUGGUCUGAGAGGAUGAUCAGCCACACUGGAACUGAGACACGGUCCAGACUCCUACGGGAGGCAGCAGUGGGGAAUAUUGGACAAUGGGCGCAAGCCUGAUCCGGCCAUACCGCGUGGGUGAAGAAGGCCUUCGGGUUGUAAAGCCCUUUUGUUGGGAAAGAAAAGCAGCAGGUUAAUACCCCGCUGUUCUGACGGUACCCAAAGAAUAAGCACCGGCUAACUUCGUG